This 496-nucleotide ribosomal RNA is filed under the name uncultured bacterium. RNAcentral describes it as "partial 16S ribosomal RNA". It matches the Rfam family "Bacterial small subunit ribosomal RNA", at positions 29 to 507 of the family's 1533-position model. The record is from RNAcentral.
AUGCACGCUGGCGGCGUGCCUAAUACCUGCAAGUCGAGCGAACAGACGAGGAGCUUGCUCCUCUGACGUUAGCGGCGGACGGGUUAGUAACACGUGGAUAACCUACCUAUAAGACUGGGAUAACUUCGGGAAACCGGAGCUAAUACCGGAUAAUAUAUUGAACCGCAUGGUUCAAUAGUGAAAGACGGUUUUGCUGUCACUUAUAGAUGGAUCCGCGCCGCAUUAGCUAGUUGGUAAGGUAACGGCUUACCAAGGCAACGAUGCGUAGCCGACCUGAGAGGGUGAUCGGCCACACUGGAACUGAGACACGGUCCAGACUCCUACGGGAGGCAGCAGUAGGGAAUCUUCCGCAAUGGGCGAAAGCCUGACGGAGCAACGCCGCGUGAGUGAUGAAGGUCUUCGGAUCGUAAAACUCUGUUAUUAGGGAAGAACAAAUGUGUAAGUAACUAUGCACGUCUUGACGGUACCUAAUCAGAAAGCCACGGCUAACUACGUG